UGGGGAAUAUUGCACAAUGGGCGCAAGCCUGAUGCAGCCAUGCCGCGUGUGUGAAGAAGGCCUUCGGGUUGUAAAGCACUUUCAGCGGGGAGGAAGGCGAUAAGGUUAAUAACCUUGUCGAUUGACGUUACCCGCAGAAGAAGCACCGGCUAACUCCGUGCCAGCAGCCGCGGUAAUACGGAGGGUGCAAGCGUUAAUCGGAAUUACUGGGCGUAAAGCGCACGCAGGCGGUCUGUCAAGUCGGAUGUGAAAUCCCCGGGCUCAACCUGGGAACUGCAUUCGAAACUGGCAGGCUAGGGUCUUGUAGAGGGGGGUAGAAUUCCAGGUGUAGCGGUGAAAUGCGUAGAGAUCUGGAGGAAUACCGGUGGCGAAGGCGGCCCCCUGGACAAAGACUGACGCUCAGGUGCGAAAGCGGGGGGAGCAAACAGG
RNAcentral lists this ribosomal RNA (429 nucleotides) under Chloroflexota bacterium. RNAcentral's name for it is "Chloroflexi bacterium partial 16S ribosomal RNA". It matches the Rfam family "Bacterial small subunit ribosomal RNA", at positions 355 to 776 of the family's 1533-position model. The record is from RNAcentral. Lineage: Bacteria; Bacillati; Chloroflexota.